CAGAACCAGUGGGGGGGGAGGGGGGAAGGGGGGCGGACAGUGGACUCCCAGUCCAUAGGAAAGGAGGAGGGAGAGGCACAGGAGGAAGCAGCAAGAGGGCGGCAUGAUCCCCAGGCCCAAGGAUACCUGUAGCACCUGCCGAAGCUCCCUGGGAGGCUCAGGCCCUUCCCUCUCGAAGAUUCGCUCUAGCUCAGUUUGGAACAAGGGGUGCUGA
This 214-nucleotide long non-coding RNA is filed under the name Monodelphis domestica (gray short-tailed opossum). RNAcentral's name for it is "lncRNA (ENSMODG00000043521.1)". The record is from RNAcentral. Lineage: Eukaryota; Metazoa; Chordata; Mammalia; Didelphimorphia; Didelphidae.